AUUGUAUAUUAUGAGUACUUUAUUCCAAUGUGGUACUUUUUUCAUUCAGGGGUGUGCUAAAAGAGUUAUGAGAAGUCGAGACUGGAAUUGACACACCACAAGAUUUACAGUCACCUUCACAAAUUUGUUCAUCGAUGAACUGUAUCGGUGUCUCCAUUCACCUUCGAUAUAUUUUCGCGUCCUUAGUCAGCAAAUACCAGAAAAGUCUUCCGAUAUGUACAUUUAGCAAUGUGUAUUAAUGAUUUUCACGGGGUUCGGAUUUGCAUGGCGAUUUGUGCAUGCAUAUCAGGAGACGCUUACCUUGUAGAUGCACACGAUCUCACUGCUUUAAGUGUGUAUCUAAACAUUCCCGUCCAGGUUUCUUUUUGAACCCAAACGAUAUGGCAAAUGUAAAUUGAUACAGAUCUUCUUUAGGAUGUAUCGUGUCUUCUGAUUUGCUGAGAGUGUUUUGUUUAUCAUCUCAUAGACAUAAUUCAGUCAUGUGACCGUGACGUCAUCA
Molecule: long non-coding RNA, 499 nt
Filed under: Mytilus galloprovincialis (Mediterranean mussel)
Lineage: Eukaryota; Metazoa; Mollusca; Bivalvia; Mytilida; Mytilidae
Source: RNAcentral